Molecule: long non-coding RNA, 1062 nt
Filed under: Phascolarctos cinereus (koala)
Lineage: Eukaryota; Metazoa; Chordata; Mammalia; Diprotodontia; Phascolarctidae
Description: lncRNA (ENSPCIG00000036077.1)
Source: RNAcentral
GGACUAGGGCGGAGAAGCGUGUCCCCCCCCCCCGAGCCGUCCCCGAGGAGGGGGGAAGGGCAGGGAAUGGUCUCUCACCCAUGCUGGGGGCUCCGGCGCGGGGGAAGCCCGAUCGUAGCGGCUCCUCCUUCUCUUCUUCGGGUAGUGGCUUCGUGCGGCAAGAGCCGGGCUUCAGCCCCAGCGGGCGGUCGGAGUGCGGGGGCUCAGGCGGGGCGAGGCGGCAAGUCCAUCCGCCCGCGUCUCCCUCCAGCUGGUCCAGUCAGUUGAAGAAUCUGGGAAGGAAGAGGCGGCGUCAGCCAACCCCUCCCCUCUCCGACUGCGGUGGAGAGGAGCGCGCGCUCAAGCUCUGCUGACUUGAGAGCCGGGACGCGGCCGCCGGGAGAAGGGGGUCGAGAACUUGUGGAAGGUGGGGGAAGUCUCGCGAGAACUCUUUUUUUCCCUCCCCCCCUCUCCCCGAAACCCCAACCCCCACUCCACCUCUUCAGUUACUACUACCGCCCUCUCGGCAGUUGCCAGGUGAAGUGACGUCACGUCCCCGAGGUUCCGGAGCCGCGUCCGUGAGGUGGGGGGAGGGUCCGCGAGCGGCAUGCAGGGAGGUUGGCCAUUGGAGGGGCGGGGGCGACGUGACAAUCGAUGACGUCCGGGCUGAGAGCCCCCUGCCCAGCCGCGGCCGGGCUCUGAAAGUCUCAGGAUCUUUUGAGAGGAGAGGGGAGUGGGGAUGGUGAAGAUGGCCGGGAUUGUUUCUCCCACCACGCCCCAUGUAGUGUGAUCCGGCCCGGGGGAGUUGCUGCGGGCAGGAAAACUGACCCUUCCCUGCCCCAGUUUGGCGAUAUUGCCUUCCUAAGGGAGGACGGAAGGUGACCCACAAAGCAAGCAAGAGGAUAAGAUUGGGGUGCGAGGCAGGCCGGGCUGGCUCCCCUGAGAACUCUGGAGCCCCGGCUUCUGCCGGGGGGAGCCUUGUUAGACCCGGGGCCGCCUGAUAUUUUGUCCUAGGACACGCACUGUGGGCACCAGUCAGGCUUUCGUGGCAUUUAAAAUAAAUUACUGGAACCUCUUGUGCCA